AAUUUAAUAGUUUAAUAAAAACAAUGAUUUUGUAAAUCAAAAAUAGAUACUCUUUAAAUUA
Molecule: transfer RNA, 61 nt
Filed under: Perkinsiella saccharicida
Lineage: Eukaryota; Metazoa; Arthropoda; Insecta; Hemiptera; Delphacidae
Description: tRNA-Thr
Source: RNAcentral